UGGGGAAUAUUGGACAAUGGGCGGAAGCCUGAUCCAGCAACGCCGCGUGAGGGAUGACGGCCUUCGGGUUGUAAACCUCUUUCAGUACCGACGAAGCGAGAGUGACGGUAGGUACAGAAGAAGCACCGGCCAACUACGUGCCAGCAGCCGCGGUAAUACGUAGGCAGCGAGCGUUGUUCGGAGUUACUGGGCGUAAAGAGUGCGUAGGCGGUUUCGUAAGUCUGGUGUGAAAUCUCCUGGCUUAACUGGGAGGGUGCGCUAGAAACUGCGGAGCUGGAGUAUGGGAGGGGCAAGCGGAAUUCCUGGUGUAGCGGUGAAAUGCGUAGAUAUCAGGAGGAACACCUGCGGUGUAGACGGCUUGCUGGACCAUUACUGACGCUGAGGCACGAAAGCGUGGGGAGCAAA
RNAcentral lists this ribosomal RNA (405 nucleotides) under uncultured bacterium. Its description in RNAcentral is "bacterial SSU rRNA". It matches the Rfam family "Bacterial small subunit ribosomal RNA", at positions 355 to 772 of the family's 1533-position model. The record is from RNAcentral.